Molecule: long non-coding RNA, 521 nt
Organism: Stegodyphus dumicola
Lineage: Eukaryota; Metazoa; Arthropoda; Arachnida; Araneae; Eresidae
Source: RefSeq, a predicted model, not a curated record
AUUAAUGCAUAUUAUCUGCUUCUAACAGAAACAAAGCAUCAUUCUUGACUCUACAUUUAAAGGAAAUGACUUCAUGUAUCAACUGCAGAUGCCGGACUGUAACGGUGAAUCUUCCAUUAGCUGUGACUUGUGGCCGUGAGCAAAAAUGUCACUUACUGUAUGCUGCUGGUCCAAUUUUUAACAGUGUUUUGAGUGAUAAGAAGAUAUAUCUGUAUCUGCUGUUACUUUUCUGUAUCCUAAUUACCAGCAACUGUCAUGAAAGUGGCCUACAUCAGAAGAGCUGAUUAUGAGUGAAGUUCUGUGACCCAUCUUAAUACUAUCUUUAGUAUUCUGAAAGACGGUAUACAGAAAAGAGUUACCACAACUCGUUUCUCCGUAUUUCAAAUUCUUGCGAAGGCAUUUUAAAUGAGCUAAUAGCUGAAGUUUUGAAAGCCAGAAGUGAAGUCUUGAAAUCUUCUAUAAAUUUACAUUUUGAUUACCUGUAAAAAUGUAGAACUAUUAAACUGAAUUACAUGCCUUUU